UAAUAAGAAGCAAAUUAUUGCAUUUAGUUUCGACCUAAAAGUAAGAUGAACACAUCCUUAUUUU
RNAcentral lists this transfer RNA (64 nucleotides) under Apomecyna saltator. RNAcentral describes it as "tRNA-Arg". The record is from RNAcentral. Lineage: Eukaryota; Metazoa; Arthropoda; Insecta; Coleoptera; Cerambycidae.